This 353-nucleotide ribosomal RNA is filed under the name uncultured Orbiliaceae. RNAcentral describes it as "eukaryotic LSU rRNA". The stretch from base 1 to 110 matches the Rfam family "5.8S ribosomal RNA", at positions 45 to 154 of the family's 154-position model. The record is from RNAcentral. Lineage: Eukaryota; Fungi; Ascomycota; Orbiliomycetes; Orbiliales.
GCAGCGAAACGCGAUAGUUAAUGUGAAUUGCAGAAUUCAGUGAAUCAUCGAGUCUUUGAACGCACAUUGCGCCCAUUGGUAUUCCUUUGGGCAUGUCUGUUUGAGCGUCAUUACAACCCUCAGCUAACCGCUGGUUUUGAACCUGAACGGGUUGACACCUGCACCGGUUUUAAAGUUGUAAGCUCUGCUGGCCGCUCUGCCCCAACCAGAACAUAGUAAGCACUACUUGUCCCGGUGAAGCUGAACGGUACGGCCUGAACAAAACCUACCCACUUCUAAGGUUUGACCUCAGAUCAGACAAGGAUACCCGCUGAACUUAAGCAUAUCAAUAAGCGGAGGAAAAGAAACCAACA